UUGUAAUUUGGAGGGUUUAUAUAUUUUGUUUCUUUUUCUUUUUUGUGGGUAUGCUUCCGCAUGCUUAGGACUUUGUUUUUUUUUGUUUUUAUUUUCCUAAUAACUAAUAUCAGAGUCAGGUUACGAUCAAGGGAGGAAGGAAGAGUCACAGAAAAUUAUGAUCAAGUAAAACAGGAAGAGUAACAAAAAAAAUUGAUCAAGGGAUGAAGAAGACAAAAGAGAUUGAAGAGUAAUGAUUUUACAAAUGUGACUAAUUAUUAUAAUUAUAAUGAUCGUU
RNAcentral lists this long non-coding RNA (277 nucleotides) under Lathyrus oleraceus (garden pea). Its description in RNAcentral is "Pisum sativum (pea) long non-coding RNA (PSAT_LNC024384)". Lineage: Eukaryota; Viridiplantae; Streptophyta; Magnoliopsida; Fabales; Fabaceae. The record is from RNAcentral.